UGCCAGAAGUACCUUUUGUAGAAAGGUUACUAACCUGCGACAGAUGAAAGUUAAAAGAACACGGUAGUGGCAGUUCGCAAAAGAAGAUGAUCACUGCUGUCUGGAACUGGUCUGCUGUGGACGAAUUGAAGAGGCAAGUGAAUGCAGUAUUUUAUGCCGGCUUUGGAUGGGUUUUCUACCUGGACUUCUUUGUGUCUGACUUCCAUGUCUGCCCAUACGUCCGUUUGGAGAACAGCUUACAGCAGCAGAGCAGCCAGGAAGCAGAGCAAGAAUACUUCCCACAAAUGAGUGCAUCCUUGCCAGCGUUUAACACACAGGCACUUUCAAACCACUUUAUGGAUUUAAGAAUCCAGCAUCCAAAAGCUUUAAGACACCAUUGCUUGAGAAGCUUUCAACAUCCUCAAAGGCAUCUAAUUGUUCAGGACAUACUGAGUAUCUGCACUUACAGAAAUCAAGCCUCAAGUGGAACUCCCCUGAAAGCAAGGCACCGGGAAGCCAAGAUUAGUUUUCAGAAAUCCCUCAAGACCACGUCACAAACGCACGUCUCUCCAUCACACCUGCCGUACAGUGUGAUUGCUCGUUCCUGCCCUAUCUGCUUGUUACAGAAGGGUGGGCUCAGACCUGGUUUCACACUGGCACAGCAAAUUGUGGCACAGCCCUUUGGGAUCUCAAGAAAAUGA
RNAcentral lists this long non-coding RNA (680 nucleotides) under Anser brachyrhynchus (Pink-footed goose). Its description in RNAcentral is "lncRNA (ENSABRG00000011687.1)". Lineage: Eukaryota; Metazoa; Chordata; Aves; Anseriformes; Anatidae. The record is from RNAcentral.